This 729-nucleotide ribosomal RNA is filed under the name Triticum aestivum (bread wheat). RNAcentral describes it as "partial small subunit ribosomal RNA". Lineage: Eukaryota; Viridiplantae; Streptophyta; Magnoliopsida; Poales; Poaceae. The record is from RNAcentral.
CACAGGACUUCCAGCAAUUUAUAUCAAUAUGUAUGACAACAAUUCCUAAAAAUGUAUGAAAAGACAGUCAAACAUGAAUUCUUUAAGUAGUUGACUUGAGCAAAAUCAGUCUGAUAUGUAUGACAGAUCUCAAACUAUAUGUAACCACUAACAGAGGGGUAUUCAACCCGGGGACUUUUUUGUUCCACAUUAUCCUAUCGAUUAUAAAUUAAUAAAAAUACAAUUUCAGGUUCAAUUUGGUGAGCAGCAACCUUUAUAAUGCUUAGGCCUCAAGCAGUGACCAAAGUUGGAUUAAAGCAACAUGUGAUUAAGGCAUAAUGCCAUAUAGGUCAAGAAACGCAUGUUAUGAUAAAAUAAACACUACUAGGACAAACAAUUCAUGCAGAAAUGAUACUUCCAUUUCCUGCAUCUAAUUAUUUUUAAGCAACAAAGACAAUAUAGUGGUUCGACCCAGAUUCAAUGAAUUGCCUGUAAGAUUAGAUUAAACAAUAAGAACCUAAACAAUUUCACGACUCCUAGUUCAUGAUAGACUGACCGUCAGUGCCAUGAGGUGGAGAAUCGGAGCACACCAAUUAAAUUUCUCUUUUAAUUAUUUCCAUCAAAUGGCAAAGCAAAUACAGCAGCCAUUGUAGACAUGACUAAACACUAGAAUAAUGUGCGGUAUAACAUGAGGCAUGUUUUCACUUCUAAAGAAACGAAGAUGUCAAAUAAAGGAAAAGGGAAAAUGGC